This is a non-coding RNA of Canis lupus familiaris (dog), 333 nucleotides long. The record is from Rfam. NCBI's taxonomy places the organism in Eukaryota, Metazoa, Chordata, Mammalia, Carnivora, Canidae.
AGAUGUGAAGGCGAUCUGGCUGUGACAUCUGUCACCCUGUUGAUCACCAGGGCUGAUCCGGUUGACCUGGCUGGCUGGGCAGAUGUCCCCUUCCUCCUCACAACUGCAUGUGCAUCCCUCCCGAAGCUUCGCACUCGGUAGAAGAGGAUGACCUUCCCUGGCAGAGGAGGACCAUUCUUUGGUCAAGGGUAUCCGAGUGGCUGCACUCCCCUGCUAGGACCCCCAAACAAGCUCUCAAGGUCCAUUUGUAGGAGAAAACGGAGGGUAGUCAAGCUUCCAAGACCCAAGACACAUCCAAAAUGAGGCGCUGCAUGUGGCUGCUUUCUUAUAAGU